RNAcentral lists this transfer RNA (72 nucleotides) under Stenotrophomonas phage vB_SmaS-DLP_6. It matches the Rfam family "tRNA". Rfam says of the family: Transfer RNA (tRNA) molecules are approximately 80 nucleotides in length. Lineage: Duplodnaviria; Heunggongvirae; Uroviricota; Caudoviricetes. The record is from Rfam by way of RNAcentral.
AGUUCCCUAGCUCAGUGGUAGAGCGCCUCCUUGACAUGGAGUAGGUCAGCGGUUCGAUCCCGCUGGGAACUA